UUAAGUUCAGCGGGUAUUCCUACCUGAUCCGAGGUCAACAUUUAGAUUUUCAUUAAGAGACAGGCUCCCAUCUUCCACCAUAGCGAUGUUUGUACGCCUGAGGUUGAUUGUAACCGUCGCUGAUUUUUAGGUAUGCCUUCCGGCAGUACCCAACAUCAAACAGUGAUGUUUGAGGGGUAUAAUGACGCUCGAACAGGCAU
This 200-nucleotide unclassified non-coding RNA is filed under the name uncultured Ascomycota. RNAcentral describes it as "sequence contains ITS2". The record is from RNAcentral. Lineage: Eukaryota; Fungi; Ascomycota.